ACUGCUUCUCAGCCCUUUGGCUAAGAUCAAGUGUAGUAUCUGUUCUUAUCAGUUUCAUAUCCAAUAUGUCCUCUAUAGAGAAGCAGCAUGGCCUAGUGGAAAGUGCACAGGCCUGGAAGUCAGUGGACCUGGGUUCCAAUCCCAGCUCUGCCUCAUGUCUGCUGUGUGACCUUGGGCAAGUCACUU
Small nuclear RNA from Tachyglossus aculeatus (Australian echidna), 186 nucleotides. RefSeq annotates it as U2 spliceosomal RNA. The record is from RefSeq and is a predicted model, not a curated record. NCBI's taxonomy places the organism in Eukaryota, Metazoa, Chordata, Mammalia, Monotremata, Tachyglossidae. The transcript has a single exon.